Molecule: ribosomal RNA, 251 nt
Filed under: uncultured bacterium
Lineage: Bacteria
Description: partial 16S ribosomal RNA
Rfam family: Bacterial small subunit ribosomal RNA
Source: RNAcentral
UACGUAGGGGGCUAGCGUUAUCCGGAAUUACUGGGCGUAAAGGGUGCGUAGGUGGUUUCUUAAGUCAGAGGUGAAAGGCUACGGCUCAACCGUAGUAAGCCUUUGAAACUGGAAACUUGAGUGCAGGAGAGGAGAGUGGAAUUCCUAGUGUAGCGGUGAAAUGCGUAGAUACUAGGAGGAACACCAGUUGCGAAGGCGGCUCUCUGGACUGUAACUGACACUGAGGCACGAAAGCGUGGGGAGCAAACAGG